RNAcentral lists this ribosomal RNA (607 nucleotides) under uncultured bacterium. RNAcentral describes it as "bacterial SSU rRNA". It matches the Rfam family "Bacterial small subunit ribosomal RNA", at positions 331 to 929 of the family's 1533-position model. The record is from RNAcentral.
CCAGACUCCUACGGGAGGCAGCAGUAGGGAAUCUUCGGCAAUGGGGGCAACCCUGACCGAGCAACGCCGCGUGAGUGAAGAAGGUUUUCGGAUCGUAAAGCUCUGUUGUAAGAGAAGAACGAGUGUGAGAGUGGAAAGUUCACACUGUGACGGUAUCUUACCAGAAAGGGACGGCUAACUACGUGCCAGCAGCCGCGGUAAUACGUAGGUCCCGAGCGUUGUCCGGAUUUAUUGGGCGUAAAGCGAGCGCAGGCGGUUAGAUAAGUCUGAAGUUAAAGGCUGUGGCUUAACCAUAGUACGCUUUGGAAACUGUUUAACUUGAGUGCAAGAGGGGAGAGUGGAAUUCCAUGUGUAGCGGUGAAAUGCGUAGAUAUAUGGAGGAACACCGGUGGCGAAAGCGGCUCUCUGGCUUGUAACUGACGCUGAGGCUCGAAAGCGUGGGGAGCAAACAGGAUUAGAUACCCUGGUAGUCCACGCCGUAAACGAUGAGUGCUAGGUGUUAGACCCUUUCCGGGGUUUAGUGCCGCAGCUAACGCAUUAAGCACUCCGCCUGGGGAGUACGACCGCAAGGUUGAAACUCAAAGGAAUUGACGGGGGCCCGCACAAG